GAAAUACCACCCUUGUAUGUUUGAUGUUCUAACUUAGCCCCGUUAUCCGGGGUGAGGACAGUGCCUGGUGGGUAGUUUGACUGGGGCGGUCUCCUCCCAAAGAGUAACGGAGGAGCACGAAGGUGGGCUAAUCACGGUUGGACAUCGUGAGGUUAGUGCAAUGGCAUAAGCCCGCUUAACUGCGAGAAUGACGGUUCGAGCAGGUGCGAAAGCAGGUCAUAGUGAUCCGGUGGUUCUGUAUGGAAGGGCCAUCGCUCAACGGAUAAAAGGUACUCCGGGGAUAACAGGCUGAUACCGCCCAAGAGUUCAUAUCGACGGCGGUGUUUGGCACCUCGAUGUCGGCUCAUCACAUCCUGGGGCUGAAGUCGGUCCCAAGGGUAUGGCUGUUCGCCAUUUAAAGUGGUACGCGAGCUGGGUUUAGAACGUCGUGAGACAGUUCGGUCCCUAUCUGCCGUGGGCGUUGGAAGAUUGAAGGGGGCUGCUCCUAGUACGAGAGGACCGGAGUGGACGAACCUCUGGUGUUCGGGUUGUGUCGCCAGACGCAUUGCCCGGUAGCUAAGUUCGGAAUCGAUAACCGCUGAAAGCAUCUAAGCGG
Molecule: ribosomal RNA, 595 nt
Filed under: Vibrio fluvialis
Lineage: Bacteria; Pseudomonadati; Pseudomonadota; Gammaproteobacteria; Vibrionales; Vibrionaceae
Description: partial 23S ribosomal RNA
Rfam family: Bacterial large subunit ribosomal RNA
Source: RNAcentral